This is a long non-coding RNA of Anser brachyrhynchus (Pink-footed goose), 3251 nucleotides long. NCBI's taxonomy places the organism in Eukaryota, Metazoa, Chordata, Aves, Anseriformes, Anatidae. The record is from Ensembl.
GCUUGUCCUUGCUCAGUAUGGAGGGGCUGUGUCUGCAGCACCCAGGUCUGUUCUGCAGCUGCUGAGUGAAUUGCUGGUGGCUGUGUGCACAGAUCCAGAAUCAAACAGCUGGGGCUCUCAGCCCCGAGGAACAUCGUCAGCAAGAUCAAGAGAAGUUGCUUGCACCCAGCUCUGAAGCACAGCCAUGCUGAGAGCUGUGCGUGGUUCCUUGCAGUGUGUGGAGGCCAGGGCCAUGCUGGGGGCAUCCUGUGGAGCUUCAGGUGGGUGAGGUGAGGCAUGCAAGAGGCUACUAGGACACCACCUCUUUCUGGGGGGGCCUUUGAGCAUCAUAAUUGCAGUAGUGCUUGCCGUGUGUGCCUCCCAUGUCCUGGGGAGCAGAGGUUGGUAAAUGCUGGGGCAGCGCUCCCAGCCUGCCUGCCUGGGGGCUCCUGGAGUGCCACCAGUCACCAUGGGUUGCACAGGAGCUCGGCUGGCAUGGCCCUUGGCUGGCCGAUGUGUUUAGGGCACAGUGCAAGAACUGCAGGACCUGAUCGUCCCAUGCGGAGAACAACGAGGUUGAGGAGGACCUUCUUGUAACAGCCAGGUACUACCUUGCCCUUAUUAGAAGUGGCACAGGCAUGUUCCGGGCAGAAUUUGUGUCCAGGUGGGGAUGCAGGGUAGGGUAUGGGUCUGGCAGCAGGCGGGUUGGCUGGUGGGGGGCUCUUGGCUGGAAUUCAGGGUGGGAUGGCGCUGGGGUAGAGGUCAGGGUGCUGGAGGAUGGGACUGUAACGCCGUGAGGCGCCCUGGCAGGGUUAGGGUUAGAAAUGCUGAUACGCUCAGUUUAUUGCUAUGAAUGAUAAUUACUGCCAGGAUAAGCCCUUGAGAUGAUGCUGUCAAGGGCUAUCUUAACAAGGGCCAUGGCUGGGACUGGCUGAGAUGGGGAGGCUGGGGUUAACACCAGCUGGGGACUGGGCUAGCAGAGACUGUGAGUCAGCGUUACAGCUGGAUACAGAAGCUAUGGGACCAUGUGCUGGGCUGGGUUUGGCAAGGGCUGGAUGCCUGACCUAGACCUAACGCAUUGACAAGUGACUUGAAGCUAGAGCUGACCUUGGCAGGAGCCCAAGAAUUUGCACGGGCCCUGGGUCCAGCGGUGUCUGCUGGGCUGGGUUCAGGGCAGGUGGUGGCUGUGGCCGCUGGGCUGGCACCAGCACAGGCCCUGUUGCAGGGCUGGGAUGCCACCAGGGACGCAUACGGGUUUGCCGGUGGCAGGGCCUGCUAGGCUGAGGAUGUUCCUGGAGCUGUUUUUGGGGGUUUGCUCUGUGCAGCAGAGUGCUUAGAGCCGGGCAUGCCAAAUAGAGAGUUGACUCAGCUUGUGAGGUUUUAAUCAAAAUGCUUAGGUUUGUAUUAAGGUGUGCAAAGCAAACAGUAAUUAUAAAGUUAACCACAUUUCAACCCUUUCACUUAAAAGCACGUAAUGAACAUCAGUGCCGAAGCCUCAACAAGUCCUGCAAACAUGGGAGAGAAUAGUGUCAAAACUACUGAGGUAAGUCAAAUCGCUCUGAAUUAACAAGGGUGGUGUGGACCGUAAUAAUAUAUUUACAGCCUGGUGAUUAUUCUGUGAGAAAGAAGGGAAGGGUUUAAAUCCUUGUUUAGUUUAAGCUGCAUUUUAGUGCAGCCGGCCCUUCAGUAGUACGCAGUUAAAAAUGUAGUCUGUCAAAUCCCGCUGACAUAUUUUGGCAAUAGAUAUUUCCUCUAAUUGAAAGCAAUUGUUGUGCUGUAAGCUUUCCUCCUUUCCCAUUUGUUUUGGUUAACGGGUAGUAGUGGCCUGUCUACUUAAGCACGUAUUGAGCAACUGCUCACUGGAAAGUUAGCAUAUUGCAAAGAGUGUGGCACGAUCCUGCCUGACUUCAUAAGGAAAAACUUCCUCCGGGCUUUGGCGGGGGACAUUGAACAAAGCUGGUGGGAUCAGCCCCGCUGGCUGCCGUUGCAGGGCCUUGCCGCUCGGGUCAGCUAGGGGCUUCGUGUGCGAAUCCUGGGGUAAGAAUCAGGCUCGCUUCCAAGGCGGCCAUGCUUUGUUUUGAACAAUCAGCCCGGCCCCCGCUGCGAAUCCCACGAGGGGAUGCUCUGCUUUAUGUUGCGUUCGCUUCCUUUGCUGGGAGCCAAAUGCUGCAUCCCACGCUGCUGGAAUUCAGUCAGAAGUAGCGGGACCAGAGCUGGGGCCUGACAUGGACGGGACGCGGCCGUCCCUGCGUCGGGCGCUGCUGUGGCUCCGGCGGCAGCACCGGUCCUUGAGCGGGCUGGGCCCCCCGCCCCGGGCACGCCGCUGCCCAAGCAGCACCGGGGGCUGCUCCCUGCCCCCCCUGCACUGCCGCUGGCCCCGGUACAUGCUCAGUUUCUUGCAGAGCAGAGCUGGAGACAUGUUUGAGCUUACUGGCUGUGCUUCCAGCCCCGAUGGGCUCUGGGGGGCAGUGAGCGCUGAGCACUUUCUUAACCUCUAGAGAGAAAACCAAAAAGCAGCAGGUCACAAAGCGGACCUGUGGGCAGGUGGGGAGCCUGCUGCUGCUGCUUCCCAGCUGAGGGCCCAGCCUGUAAAACCAAAACUCUUUUCCACCCUCAACACUGGUGUCAAAUCCCAGCACAGCCUACAAAACAUACAUUUUUCAUUGCCUGGUGAUAAACCUCCUUGUCUGGAAAAUCCUGCCAUUAUUGUGUGUGUGCGAACUUUCACCAGCACUGAAUCCAUCAUUAACCCAGAAGGAGACCUUUUCAUGCUCGCAACCUCUGUCUGCACAGCUCCUCUCUGGAGGCGAAUCCCUCACGGUGAGCACGUCAGCCGGCUGCACGCUGCAGACAAGGUUAUGACUGCAUUACACACUCUGCUCUAUAUUACGCUGGGAAAGGUUCAUCUUCGAAAACAAAGAGAUUUGAGGGGGAAAAAAGCAUGAUUCUUCUCAGAAAGCGCCACAUGUCCCCAUAAAUCCUUCUCACCCUUGCUCAGACCAGGGCUGGAGGCCAGCAACACGGUGGCAGUGGAGCCUGCCAGUGCAAUUCCUGCAACAGCCAUUUGCAGUGAAGCCUGAGCCCACACCACAGCUCAUGCUUAGAUUAAAGGACGUUUGGGAAGGGACCUUGCCUUAAUCUUUCUGCUAAGCACCUAGCAGAAUCCCAGUGUGCUAAAUCAUUAGUAAUAACAGCAAUGACAGUCUGGCCUCCUUCUCCAUGAGCUGUGCUCACAAUAUAGAUUAGUAACAAUAAAAUAGGGACUCAGUCCA